Molecule: ribosomal RNA, 1372 nt
Filed under: uncultured bacterium
Lineage: Bacteria
Description: bacterial SSU rRNA
Rfam family: Bacterial small subunit ribosomal RNA
Source: RNAcentral
GAUGAACGCUGGCGGCGUGCCUAAUACAUGCAAGUCGAGCGAACGGACGAGAAGCUUGCUUCUCUGAUGUUAGCGGCGGACGGGUGAGUAACACGUGGAUAACCUACCUAUAAGACUGGGAUAACUUCGGGAAACCGGAGCUAAUACCGGAUAAUAUUUUGAACCGCAUGGUUCAAAAGUGAAAGACGGUCUUGCUGUCACUUAUAGAUGGAUCCGCGCUGCAUUAGCUAGUUGGUAAGGUAACGGCUUACCAAGGCAACGAUGCAUAGCCGACCUGAGAGGGUGAUCGGCCACACUGGAACUGAGACACGGUCCAGACUCCUACGGGAGGCAGCAGUAGGGAAUCUUCCGCAAUGGGCGAAAGCCUGACGGAGCAACGCCGCGUGAGUGAUGAAGGUCUUCGGAUCGUAAAACUCUGUUAUUAGGGAAGAACAUAUGUGUAAGUAACUGUGCACAUCUUGACGGUACCUAAUCAGAAAGCCACGGCUAACUACGUGCCAGCAGCCGCGGUAAUACGUAGGUGGCAAGCGUUAUCCGGAAUUAUUGGGCGUAAAGCGCGCGUAGGCGGUUUUUUAAGUCUGAUGUGAAAGCCCACGGCUCAACCGUGGAGGGUCAUUGGAAACUGGAAAACUUGAGUGCAGAAGAGGAAAGUGGAAUUCCAUGUGUAGCGGUGAAAUGCGCAGAGAUAUGGAGGAACACCAGUGGCGGAGGCGACUUUCUGGUCUGUAACUGACGCUGAUGUGCGAAAGCGUGGGGAUCAAACAGGAUUAGAUACCCUGGUAGUCCACGCCGUAAACGAUGAGUGCUAAGUGUUAGGGGGUUUCCGCCCCUUAGUGCUGCAGCUAACGCAUUAAGCACUCCGCCUGGGGAGUACGACCGCAAGGUUGAAACUCAAAGGAAUUGACGGGGACCCGCACAAGCGGUGGAGCAUGUGGUUUAAUUCGAAGCAACGCGAAGAACCUUACCAAAUCUUGACAUCCUUUGACAACUCUAGAGAUAGAGCCUUCCCCUUCGGGGGACAAAGUGACAGGUGGUGCAUGGUUGUCGUCAGCUCGUGUCGUGAGAUGUUGGGUUAAGUCCCGCAACGAGCGCAACCCUUAAGCUUAGAUGCCAUCAUUAAGUUGGGCACUCUAAGUUGACUGCCGGUGACAAACCGGAGGAAGGUGGGGAUGACGUCAAAUCAUCAUGCCCCUUAUGAUUUGGGCUACACACGUGCUACAAUGGACAAUACAAAGGGCAGCGAAACCGCGAGGUCAAGCAAAUCCCAUAAAGUUGUUCUCAGUUCGGAUUGUAGUCUGCAACUCGACUACAUGAAGCUGGAAUCGCUAGUAAUCGUAGAUCAGCAUGCUACGGUGAAUACGUUCCCGGGUCU